UGAGAGGAUGGCUGGCGUCAAUGGAGGAAAGCUCACAACAGAGAGGCGACACGACGGAGACGGCGCGGAGAGGAUGCUUUCGUUUUCUGAAACUGAUCGCGUGAGGAGGAAAACUGUUCAAAGUUUUUUUUUAACCAUCAGAAGAGCAUCUGCCGCGGUUCUACACUUAACCGCGGCAUAAAGGGGGAAUAGGCCGCGGUUCUACACUAAACCGCGGCCUAUUCAUUUUAAAAAAAUAAUACAAAAUGGCAUUUUUGAAAUUCUUUUUACCUUAUAUGCCGCGGUUCAGCACCCAACCGCGGCAUAUACUCUGAAAAUUUUAAAAUUUACUCAGACUAGGGAAUAGGCCGUGGUUGGCCAGAGAACUGC
This 369-nucleotide long non-coding RNA is filed under the name Vigna radiata. RNAcentral describes it as "long non-coding RNA (VRAD_LNC014011)". The record is from RNAcentral. Lineage: Eukaryota; Viridiplantae; Streptophyta; Magnoliopsida; Fabales; Fabaceae.